AAAAUUAACAUUUUAAUUUGUAACGACCUAGUUUAGGUUAACACUAGCUUAAUUUCAAUAGUGUACAAAAAAUUUUGCUUCUACAUAGCUUCAUUGCCCUCCACCUACACCGUUCUUGUUCAAACUGCAUUUUUAUCCAUUGUGUGUCCAUUAACAUAGAUUUAUAACUAUUGCUUCUCAGGUCUUUUUUUGGCAUACACGUAUCCCUGGGUAUUUAUGUUGCCUUCUGGAUUCCCAGAAAUAUAUCAGAGCUUUCAAAUCCUUGUGGACAUCUCAUUCCCCAGCCUUUCCUACUAAGCUUUUUGGUUAGACUAUUGUUUGCCUCAACUUUCAUCCAGUGCCUCAGGCAGCAGUGACUAAAACAUUUGCCCGUAAAUGUUUUUGAUAAACAGCACCCACUCUCCACCCCUGGACUAGUUCUGAGUUAGGCAAAAUAAAGACAAUCUUUCUGAGUUGAUCUUACAGGGAACCACAAGAUUGGUCAAAACAAAUAAUUACUUUUUUUUUUAAUGAAUUAGGUCUGGUCUAAUCCCUCCACCACCAGCAGUAUAGGUUAUUAUUUGCAAAACUACAACUGAGCUGGAGAGUGGGAGAUGGGACUGGGGCUGGAUUCCUAGAAGACAGGAAUUUAUGGUGUGAGAGCUCCAGCCCCCGCAAACCCACAGCCAAGGUCAACAGCACGAGGCGGGCAGCGCUGCCAAGCAAGGAGGGGAGCCCAGAAAACCAAAGUCUCAUUUGUGGAUUGCUUUCCUGAAAGUUGUCUGGAGAGAAACAUUUCAGCUGUGAAACCCCAGGUAUCC
This is a non-coding RNA of Vicugna pacos (alpaca), 800 nucleotides long. The record is from RefSeq and is a predicted model, not a curated record. NCBI's taxonomy places the organism in Eukaryota, Metazoa, Chordata, Mammalia, Artiodactyla, Camelidae.